GGGGGUAUGGCGGAAUUGGUAGACGCUACGGACUUAAAAUCCGUUGAUCCUAGGAUUGUGAGGGUUCAACCCCCUCUACCCCCA
Molecule: transfer RNA, 84 nt
Filed under: Zygnema circumcarinatum
Lineage: Eukaryota; Viridiplantae; Streptophyta; Zygnematophyceae; Zygnematales; Zygnemataceae
Description: tRNA-Leu
Rfam family: tRNA
About the family: Transfer RNA (tRNA) molecules are approximately 80 nucleotides in length. Their secondary structure includes four short double-helical elements and three loops (D, anti-codon, and T loops). Further hydrogen bonds mediate the characteristic L-shaped molecular structure. tRNAs have two regions of fundamental functional importance: the anti-codon, which is responsible for specific mRNA codon recognition, and the 3' end, to which the tRNAs corresponding amino acid is attached (by aminoacyl-tRNA synthetases). tRNAs cope with the degeneracy of the genetic code in two manners: having more than one tRNA (with a specific anti-codon) for a particular amino acid; and 'wobble' base-pairing, i.e. permitting non-standard base-pairing at the 3rd anti-codon position.
Source: RNAcentral